RNAcentral lists this ribosomal RNA (450 nucleotides) under uncultured bacterium. RNAcentral describes it as "partial 16S ribosomal RNA". It matches the Rfam family "Bacterial small subunit ribosomal RNA", at positions 328 to 794 of the family's 1533-position model. The record is from RNAcentral.
GCGCCAGACUCCUACGGGAGGCAGCAGUGGGGGAUAUUGCCCAAUGGGGGGCCCCCUGAUGCAGCUCCGCCGCGUGGGUGAAGGCGUAUUUCGGUCUUUCAAGCCCUCUCUUCCGGGAAGAAGCCCGCCGGUACCUUCCUCCAAAGCCCCUUCUCCCUACGCGCCCUCCUCCGCGGGCCUCCUUAGGGGGCCCUCGUUAUCCGGAUUUCCUUGGUGUAAAGGGGGCGCAGACGGCAGCGCAAGCCAGGAGGGGAAGCCCGGGGGCGAACCCCGGGACUGCCCUUGGAACUGCUUGGCUGGAGUGCGGGAGGGGCAGGCGGAAUUCCUGGUGUAGCGGGGAAAUGCGUAGAUAGAAGGAGGAACACCGGUGGCGAAGGCGGCCUGCUGGACUGCAACUGACGUUGAGGCCCGAAAGCGUGGGUAGCAAACAGGAUUAGAUACCCCAGUAAA